CCGCCCAGAGGUAAACGGGUGGAUCCGCAUAGUCGGUCCGCGGAAUUCAGCGCGGCGCGCGGUCCGGGGCUGCCGCUGUUCGGGAUCCUUACGGAACCGACGGUGGUGCCGAGCCGGGCCCCGCCGCGUGCACUUUCCGCGGACGGAGAGCCACAACCGGUUUGAAGGGCGGUCACGAGCCGGAAGGGUUGUCGGUGGGGGCGCUCGCGUCCCCACCAGCCCUCCCCGGCGAACCGCCCGCAGACCGAGGAACCGCCGCGCGCUUCGAGGCCACCCUCCCUUCCGGGUGAGUUCGACAGGGAGAGACUGGGCAACCGUGUCUCCCGACCGCUCACUCGAGACCGGCGUGGGGCUGGCCGGGCGAAAUCUUGGGUUGGUGGCAAGUCUGUCGGCACUCCACCCGACCCGUCUUGAAACACGGACCAAGGAGUCUAACAUGCGCGCGAGUCAUUGGGAUUUUACGAAACCCAAAGGCGCAGUGAAAGCGAGGGCCUGUCAAAGGGCCCAGGUGGGAUCCUGUCACUCCCUCGGCGCCGAG
RNAcentral lists this ribosomal RNA (538 nucleotides) under Kalamantania whiteheadi. RNAcentral's name for it is "partial large subunit ribosomal RNA". Lineage: Eukaryota; Metazoa; Mollusca; Gastropoda; Stylommatophora; Dyakiidae. The record is from RNAcentral.